Molecule: ribosomal RNA, 966 nt
Filed under: Septoriella neodactylidis
Lineage: Eukaryota; Fungi; Ascomycota; Dothideomycetes; Pleosporales; Phaeosphaeriaceae
Description: SSU rRNA
Rfam family: Eukaryotic small subunit ribosomal RNA
Source: RNAcentral
UAUUUGAUAGUACCUUACUACUUGGAUAACCGUGGUAAUUCUARAGCUAAUACAUGCUAAAAACCCCAACUUCGGGAGGGGUGUAUUUAUUAGAUAAAAAACCAACGCCCUUCGGGGCUUCUUGGUGAUUCAUGAUAACUUUACGGAUCGCAUGGCCUUGCGCCGGCGACGGUUCAUUCAAAUUUCUGCCCUAUCAACUUUCGAUGGUAAGGUAUUGGCUUACCAUGGUUUCAACGGGUAACGGGGAAUUAGGGUUCGAUUCCGGAGAGRGAGCCUGAGAAACGGCUACCACAUCCAAGGAAGGCAGCAGGCGCGCAAAUUACCCAAUCCCGACACGGGGAGGUAGUGACAAUAAAUACUGAUACAGGGCUCUUUUGGGUCUUGUAAUUGGAAUGAGUACAAUUUAAACCUCUUAACGAGGAACAAUUGGAGGGCAAGUCUGGUGCCAGCAGCCGCGGUAAUUCCAGCUCCAAUAGCGUAUAUUAAAGUUGUUGCAGUUAAAAAGCUCGUAGUUGAAACUUGGGUCUGGCUGGCAGGUCCGCCUCACCGCGUGUACUUGUCCGGCCGGGCCUUCCUUCUGGAGAACCUCAUGCCCUUCACUGGGCGUGUUGGGGACCAGGACUUUUACUUUGAAAAAAUUAGAGUGUUCAAAGCAGGCCUUUGCUCGAAUACGUUAGCAUGGAAUAAUAGAAUAGGACGUGCGGUCCUAUUUUGUUGGUUUCUAGGACCGCCGUAAUGAUUAAUAGGGACAGUCGGGGGCAUCAGUAUUCAAUUGUCAGAGGUGAAAUUCUUGGAUUUAUUGAAGACUAACUACUGCGAAAGCAUUUGCCAAGGAUGUUUUCAUUAAUCAGUGAACGAAAGUUAGGGGAUCGAAGACGAUCAGAUACCGUCGUAGUCUUAACCGUAAACUAUGCCGACUAGGGAUCGGGCGAUGUUCUUUUUCUGACUCGCUCGGCACCUUACGAG